AAUGAGCGAAAGCUUGACGCAGCGACACCGCGUGUGGGAUGACGGUUCUAGGAUUGUAAACCACUUUCAGGAGGGAAGAAAAUGACGGUACCUCCACAAGAAGACCCGGCCAACUACGUGCCAGCAGCCGCGGUAAUACGUAGGGGUCAAGCGUUGUCCGGAUUUAUUGGGCGUAAAGAGCUCGUAGGCGGUUCAGCAAGUCGGUCGUGAAAGUUCAGGGCUCAACCCUGAAAUGCGAUCGAUACUGUUGGACUAGGAUACGGUAGAGGUGAGUGGAAUUCCGAGUGUAGCGGUGAAAUGCGUAGAUAUUCGGAGGAACACCAAUUGCGAAGGCAGCUCACUGGACCGCUAUCGACGCUGAGGAGCGAAAGCUAGGGGAGCAAACAGGAUU
Molecule: ribosomal RNA, 391 nt
Filed under: uncultured Actinomycetes bacterium
Lineage: Bacteria; Bacillati; Actinomycetota; Actinomycetes
Description: bacterial SSU rRNA
Rfam family: Bacterial small subunit ribosomal RNA
Source: RNAcentral